AGAAUUUUGAAAAGAUCCCUCAACUUGUAUGGCACCGCCGGAGUAGUGGCUUCCAUGGCAACGCGGCCUGAGGGUUGGACCGAGUCUCAGGUUAGGCGCCGGUUCGUUGUCACUGAUAAUACGCAUCCAUGGUUUCAACAGCAUCCUGAACACCAUUCGCUCCCUGAAGUGAAAGGGGUCGCACCAGGGCAUUCCGCAGAAAAGGAAGGAAUCCCACAGAAGUAAUGGUAGACUUCUAAAGAUCCUCGCAAUUGUAAGGAAGACUAUGACAUUGUAACUCCUGGAAGUGGAUACAGACUUAAUGUAAUUAUUGUCCAAUGCUUGAAAUGUCAAUCUGAAGAAAUUCAGUGGAUGAAAGAAACUGCAGAUUAUGGAAUUUGGAGCAACAUAAAAGAUACUUGA
This is a long non-coding RNA of Hypanus sabinus (Atlantic stingray), 402 nucleotides long. RefSeq lists it as uncharacterized. NCBI's taxonomy places the organism in Eukaryota, Metazoa, Chordata, Chondrichthyes, Myliobatiformes, Dasyatidae. The transcript is spliced from 3 exons. The record is from RefSeq and is a predicted model, not a curated record.